CCUACGGGUGGCAGCAGUGGGGAAUAUUGGACAAUGGGGGCAACCCUGAUCCAGCCAUGCCGCGUGUGUGAAGAAGGCCCUCGGGUUGUAAAGCACUUUCAGUGAGGAAGAACGCCUGGUGGUUAAUACCCAUCAGGAAAGACAUCACUCACAGAAGAAGCACCGGCUAACUCCGUGCCAGCAGCCGCGGUAAUACGGAGGGUGCGAGCGUUAAUCGGAAUUACUGGGCGUAAAGCGCGCGUAGGUGGCUUGAUAAGCCGGUUGUGAAAGCCCCGGGCUCAACCUGGGAACGGCAUCCGGAACUGUCAAGCUAGAGUGCAGGAGAGGAAGGUAGAAUUCCCGGUGUAGAGGUGAAAUGCGUAGAGAUCGGGAGGAAUCCCAGUGGCGAAGGCGGCCUUCUGGACUGACACUGACACUGAGGUGCGAAAGCGUGGGUAGCAAACAGGAUUAGAUACCCUUGCAGUC
RNAcentral lists this ribosomal RNA (465 nucleotides) under Vreelandella stevensii. Its description in RNAcentral is "partial 16S ribosomal RNA". It matches the Rfam family "Bacterial small subunit ribosomal RNA", at positions 338 to 795 of the family's 1533-position model. The record is from RNAcentral. Lineage: Bacteria; Pseudomonadati; Pseudomonadota; Gammaproteobacteria; Oceanospirillales; Halomonadaceae.